Molecule: long non-coding RNA, 1766 nt
Organism: Cyprinus carpio carpio
Lineage: Eukaryota; Metazoa; Chordata; Actinopteri; Cypriniformes; Cyprinidae
Source: Ensembl
CCAAGCGUGUACGUCUGCAGACUGCAAGAAAGGGGCGUAACUUGAAAGAGGCGUAACUUGAAGUAGGAGGCGUAACUUGAAGUUGUCGAAAUCUCACAGAAUCACGCGAGAUGUCAAAAUGAUAAGUUGUUGGCAAUAUGGCUGCUUUCAAUAGGGCACAGAGUAGAAUAUUGAUUACGUUUUUUAAGGGAAGCAGGGGUUUUAGGCAGGAUUUGAUGCAUAAGGUGUGUGUAGAUAUUAAUGCUAGGGGACAAUGUGAGUGAUGUGUACGUUUAGUAGGAAAACCUAUUAUCUGAUCCACACUCCGGGACAGAAGAGGGCGGUAUUGCACCAAUAAGCUGGAUGCCAACCGCCGUUAAACUGGAAAGCAGUUACAAUGAGUUACAAUGGUGAGAAUAUAUUUUUUCACGAAAUAAUUAGUUAAAUUUAAGAGUACAAGUUAUUUUCAUACAGUGGUAUUGAUUUUGGAGUUAAUAAUCUAUUAAAACUAAGGUGUAAAGUCAGCAACAUAUAAGCAAAAGGUGUAAAGACGCUAUCCUCCGGUUUCACAGACAAGAUUAAUUGAGCUAUGGCCUGAUCCUGGCUUAAUCUAAACCCUGUUUGUUACUUACAUAAUAUAGCAUAUUUGUGAUUGUGCUGUAAAAACACGUUUUAUAAUGAAUAACUAACAGGGGAGCUCAAUUAAGUACACGACUCAAAAGUGGAUUUACAUAAACCAUAUAUACAUCUUGAAGACUAUUACUAAUUGUCUAUUUAUCAUCUGACAGGAUCAUCUUUGAUAAGUAUUGCAGAUGAGCACAUUUAACAGACAUGAAACAGGCAUCUGAGUGAUGUGUGUGUGCUAUUAUUCACUCACAACACUGCUUGAGAUGAGUGUAAGUCAUGUAAACAAACAAAUCUACAUACAGUAACUAAACACAAGUUAUCUAUUUUAUUUGUCCAUUUGCAAUAUUGAUAAUUUUAGGAACAUUUGUGUUGGAUAAAAAGCGAGUUACAUCAGUUACUAACUCAACAUGCAGAUGCAGUAUAUCACAGAUAAAUCACAGAGGUUACUUGACUCUUGUCUGGAUGUUACAGGAACAGAUUAUGUUUAUCUGCUGUAGAGUGACUGAAGAAGGAAUGCUGCCAUCAAAGGAUUUGUGUUAUGAAAAUGUCUGCAGACUGGUGUGUGCACUGAGGAUGGAGAAGUCCACUGCAGCAUCCGGAAAUGGUCCAGAGACACGGAUGAGACGCUCCAUCACUCCAGCUCUUACUGUCUCAUCAGGACCAGAUGCUGCUGUGGUCUCUUCAUCAUCAGUGGCCCCAGAGCAGUGAGAGCAUCUAGAGAAAGACCAAAAGACACUGAGGAUUUGAUUUUGGUAGUGGUGCUCAUGGAGAGCAGCACACGAUUGUUUGGAGCAGACACAGCAGCAAUCAGAUUGUCCUGCACGUGUUCUUCUGCUCUCGCUUCAAGGUAGUGUGGUUCAGAGAGCCGUCAUCAAGGUCUUCCUCAUCCUGUUGCUCAACGACAUCCCCGUUGAGAAGAGCGAGACUGAGAAGCACAGCGCAGCAGCAGAACUGUCUCAGCUGUGUUGAGAUGAUAGUAAGAUGUGGGGUUCACCGUCUGUAAAUACAUGAUUGUUAGAACAGUUAGUUUGAAAGAAGCUUUGUUUCAUGUGUUGUUGACUUGUACAUGUAUGCAUUUAUUGUGAUGCUAACAUUUAUACAUUCUUUUAAUCAUUUAGACAUGUUUCUUAUUGUCAGUAAAUAAAAUAUAAAUAUUUGAU